CGCGAUUUCCCAAACCAGGCCUUACUUUUUCUUAACUGUACGCCCAUUUCUUUCUUUGCUGCCUCACUAUGUCUUUCUUAUGUUUAUGGAUGAACAGUGACAACAGCAAGAAAAAGUAAGGCCUGGGAACGAGGCUAGUAGGAGAGAGGGAUUGGAAACGGAAGUGGGCCUCGGAAAACAUCCGCGCCUCGCUUUCUUGUCUUCUUUUCUUGCCUCAAAUGAGGAAAACUCAUUGCAUAAGCGGUGAAAGAAUAGGGAAAGAGACACAAUCAACAGUGCAUUGGUACAUGGUAAUAGUAAGGAGAAUGUGCAGAGCUAGUGGUAUUGGAUACUUUUUUCACAGUAGAUAUAAAAUCAUCAGAGGAUGCUUAGUUCCCUGAAAUUGUGAAUGUAUUUGUGACUGUCAGAGGCUUCUCUUUUGCUGCCAACUUAAUUAAAUGAAAAAAAAAACCAUCAAGAAGUCCACUAGUUUGAGGCAAUAACCAUGAUCAUUCAUACGACAAGAUACAUAAUACACCAUGUAACUUUCUUAAUUAUUGUUUUCACUUUUGAUGAAUCAAUUGUACGAAGUUUCUAUAUAAUAAUACUAGGCUGGUGAGCGUACAUUUCAAUUUCCAAUUCAUUAAGUAUAAUUACAUACACUUGGAGACAGCAAAACACUCCACAGCACUGCCAGUUGCUUUCUAAGUGUAAAACGAGUGGGAUCAAACCAAACAACAUUAACAAAAACAUACACGAUAAAAAUGAUUAUUACAGCUAUAAUUAUGAUUAGUUUAGCACUCUAAUCAGACAGUCUUAGAUGGAGAGAAGCUGGUGAGGUAUACAAGGGUGUAUAUAUAGCCGGAACAGCCGAUAACAUUUACGAGGGCGGUGACGUAUAGGGUGUAGAGAGGAGGGGUAUUCUUCUGUCUUCUUUUCUUCAGCGUACUCAGUAAGUUUUGGCUUGCGAGGUAUUGCUAUAUAAAAUAUAGAUGAAACAGCAUUUGUAGUAGUUAAAUAUCUCGGGCCUACAGGCCCUUCACCACAAUCUAACUACCGGGCCAAUAACAAUUAUGAGGUAAAAAUAGGUGACUACACAUUCAUGCACACAAAAGCUAUACAUCCACCUAAUCCAAAACUAAUGCUCUUGUGGUGAUCACCAAUCAUAAGGGAAUGUAUGCCUAAAAUUAAAAUUUCUGUAACGCUUAGCAUAUUCCCAAAAAAGGGAUCUUUAGUGGUGCUCUUUAAUUCAACUUUUUUCUAGCACUAAAUUCUACCAGCUGAUGUAUGACUAAUUUUCUUUGGCUUGGGGUGAUACCACAUGAUUUACCAACAAGCAUAUUGAAGUAUACUACCUAAACAUUAAUCAUUUCAGAGAAAAAGGGAUAAAUGUGUACAAUACAAGAUUAAACUUACCUAAAUUCAAUGAAGAAGAUAGUUGCAACGGUAAAUAGAGCUUGAAUAAUGGUUAUUCACUAUCUAUAUAAAGCACAGUUGCACUGGAUACUGGAAAACUUGACAGAAUAGAUCUACUAGUGACAACUCAUAAAAUCCUAGCCUCUACACAGGCUCUCCUUUUUCUGUUCUUUAUCACAUCUUUCAAUAAGAUAAAAUACUGUCUUAUCGUUCAAUGAGAUAAAAUACGGUAUUAAUUGGAGGAAUAAAGAAAGAAAUAGACGUAGAGUAGGGUUGUUUCCACAAAAAAAAUCUGAUUUCUGAAAAAUGGUGUUUUGAGUGAUUGUGCAUACAAAGCAACUAAAAUAAAGCAGGCAGCCAAAAUUUCGCGUUGAAAUACCUUUUCUUUCUUGCACAAUAGCACCCGUUAACUCUCACCACAACUAUGCGCUUGCAUGCAAUAUUUCCACUCUAAAGAAAGCACACUUCAAAGUUAAAUUUCAAAACUUUUUUUGAAGCAUAGAUAAAGGAAUUUUGUGCUGCAAUUCUACACUUCAAGGCUGUUGAGUCAACAGAAGCCCUCCCCUCAAUGUCUGAAAUGAAAAUUUCAGCCACCCAAGGCCAAGUGGCCUUGUAUGAACUACAACAACAGGUGAAAAAUUUGGUGGAACUUGUCCAAAAACUAAGAACUGAGUUUAGAGAGGUAAAAACGCAGUUGGAAGAGUCACAAGUAGACGUUGAUGGAAUUUGUGACAUUUUAAAGGACAUAACAGGAGUGAACACUUAAUACAACAAUUGCAUGUGUAUACUACACACAUUUCUAUGUAGUCUCUUCUGACUUAAAAUUGCGUUUUUGUUCACAAUAAUUAUUCUGAUUUUUUGUC
Molecule: long non-coding RNA, 2258 nt
Organism: Halichondria panicea
Lineage: Eukaryota; Metazoa; Porifera; Demospongiae; Suberitida; Halichondriidae
Exons: 3
Source: RefSeq, a predicted model, not a curated record